Molecule: ribosomal RNA, 1293 nt
Filed under: metagenome
Description: bacterial LSU rRNA
Rfam family: Bacterial large subunit ribosomal RNA
Source: RNAcentral
CAGCUUCUAAGCGUUGAUAUUUGAGUGACCGUACCGCAAACCGACACUGGUAGGUGGGUAGAAUAUACCAAGGGGAGCGAGAGAACCCUCGUUAAGGAAUUAGGCAAAUUUCCCCCGUACGUUCGCAAUAAGGGGGGCCUCUGGUGGUGAGCUUAAUCGCAAAGCUGCUGGAGGCCGCAGAGAAAUGGCUCUUCCAACUGUUUAACAAAAACACAGGUCUCUGCUAAGUCGAAAGACGAAGUAUAGGGGCUGACGCCUGCCCAGUGCUGGAAGGUUAAGGGGAGAGGUUAGGCGCAAGCCGAAGCUUUGAGCCGAAGCCCCAGUGAACGGCGGCCGUAACAAUAACGGUCCUAAGGUAGCGAAAUUCCUUGUCGGGUAAGUUCCGACCCGCACGAAUGGCGUAAUGAGAGGAGCACUGUCUCAACGAGGGACUCGGCGAACAUUGAAGGACGUGUGAAGAUACACGUGACCCGCAGCGGGACAAAAAGACCCCGUGAAGCUUUACUACAACUUGCCAUUGAGUUAGGGCUAAACCUGUGUAGUAUAGGUGGGAGGCUUUGAAGCUGGGACGCCAGUCUCGGUGGAGCCACCGUUGAAAUACCACCCUGGUUUAUUCUUGGCUCUAACCUGUCGCCGUUAUCCGGCAUGGGAACAGUGGCUGGUGGGUAGUUUGACUGGGGCGGUCGCCUCCGAAAGCGUAACAGAGGCGCCCAAAGGUUCCCUCAGGCUGAAUGGAAACCAGCCGUUGAGUGUAAAGGCACAAGGGAGCUUGACUGCAAGACCAACAAGUCGCGCAGGGACGAAAGUCGGGCUUAGUGAUCCCACGGUUCAGAGUGGAAUGGCCGUGGCUUACCGGAUAAAAGCUACUCCGGGGAUAACAGGGUAGUCUGGUCCAAGAGUUCAUAUCGACGACCAGGUUCGCCACCUCGAUGUCGGCUCAUCACAUCCUGGGGCUGGAUAAGGUCCCAAGGGUUGGGCUGUUCGCCCAUUAAAGUGGUACGUGAGCUGGGUUCAGACCGUCGUGAGACAGGUCGGUCUCUAUCCGCUGUGGGCGUAAGGGAUUUGAGAGAAGCUGCCCCUAGUACGAGAGGACCGGGGUGGACGGACCUCUAGUGUGCCAGUUGUUCUGCCAAGAGCAUUGCUGGGUAGCUACGUCCGGCAGAGAUAACCGCUGAAAGCAUCUAAGUGGGAAACUCGUCUCAAGAUUAGAUCCCUCAUCCGUAUGGAGUAAGACCGCUAGAAGACUACUAGUUUGAUAGGCGGCAGGUGUAAGCGCAGUAAUGUGUUCAGCUU